This 896-nucleotide long non-coding RNA is filed under the name Mustela putorius furo (domestic ferret). RNAcentral describes it as "lncRNA (ENSMPUG00000029341.1)". The record is from RNAcentral. Lineage: Eukaryota; Metazoa; Chordata; Mammalia; Carnivora; Mustelidae.
AUGCUGCUAAAAAGGCUCAAACAAGGAGACCCAAUGAUCUUGGGUCUUGCCUAUGUACCAACAGCCCUAACCAUCUAUUACAGAUUUACAUUGCCAUGCAAUAUUGGAGCAACAAUAUACCAAGUCUUGCGGACUGAAACUCAAAAUAAGUAACCAGGCAAAAGGAAGGAGACAGGAGGAAGAGCAAAAGGGCACUUAAACAGCGGGCAAGCAGUUUUAAUCAGCCUUCCUGGAAGUUCCACAUAAUAUUUCUGCUUACAAAUCCUUGGCCAGAACUUAGUCUCAAGGUGACACCAAGCUGCAAAGGAGGUUGGGAAAUACAAGCUAGGAUAUGUUCCCAGAUAAAAAUUGGGGAUCUGAUCUAAAGCAAAUGGAAGAAAGUUGAUUUGGGGUAAAAAAUCACGAGUCGGUUACAGUUUGCUCUUUGCCUGCCCUAAAUCAUAUACCUCCUCUUUUCUACAACAGACCACACUUUACUUCUUAUAACCUCAAAUUCUCUUUUUAAGUUAUUCCUAGACCUUGUUCUAGACUCGUGAAACCUUCCAGAUUGGGAUCAUAUGUGUCUUCCAAUGGUCUUGUAAUCUAAAAGAUGAAAGAAAACACCUGUUGUUCAAAAUCACUCAUUUCACAUUGACGGCCAAGGAACAAUCAAUCGCUCAUUAAAACUCCCUUCUAUAUGAGGGGUUAAUAGGAAAUAUUUAGUUUUCCUGUUUCCCGACCAAGAAUAAAUGUAAGUUAUUUGCUUAUCCCCUAGCUUUGCACUCUAGAAUACUAUUCCUUUGCAUGUUAUCCUCUAUUGCCUUAUCAGGACUGGAGUGUGGAUUAUAACUUUAGUAGAUGCACGGCACUAAGACAAGCAUCAGUGGCAAUGGAUUGGAGUUUCAUUGACAAUAAAG